Molecule: ribosomal RNA, 460 nt
Filed under: uncultured bacterium
Lineage: Bacteria
Description: partial 16S ribosomal RNA
Rfam family: Bacterial small subunit ribosomal RNA
Source: RNAcentral
CCUACGGGAGGCAGCAGUGAGGAAUAUUGGUCAAUGGACGAGAGUCUGAACCAGCCAAGUAGCGUGAAGGAUGACUGCCCUAUGGGUUGUAAACUUCUUUUAUAUGGGAAUAAAACGUUCCACGUGUGGGAUUUUGUAUGUACCAUAUGAAUAAGGAUCGGCUAACUCCGUGCCAGCAGCCGCGGUAAUACGGAGGAUCCGAGCGUUAUCCGGAUUUAUUGGGUUUAAAGGGAGCGUAGGUGGAUUGUUAAGUCAGUUGUGAAAGUUUGCGGCUCAACCGUAAAAUUGCUGUUGAAACUGGCAGUCUUGAGUACAGUAGAGGUGGGCGGAAUUCGGGGUGUAGCGGUGAAAUGCUUAGAUAUCACGAAGAACUCCGAUUGCGAAGGCAGUUCACUGGACUGCAACUGACACUGAGGCUCGAAAGUGUGGGUAUCAAACAGGAUUAGAUACCCUUGUAGUC